GAUGAACGCUGGCGGCGUGCCUAAUACAUGCAAGUCGAGCGAACAGACGAGGAGCUUGCUCCUCUGACGUUAGCGGCGGACGGGUGAGUAACACGUGGAUAACCUACCUAUAAGACUGGGAUAACUUCGGGAAACCGGAGCUAAUACCGGAUAAUAUAUUGAACCGCAUGGUUCAAUAGUGAAAGACGGUUUUGCUGUCACUUAUAGAUGGAUCCGCGCCGCAUUAGCUAGUUGGUAAGGUAACGGCUUACCAAGGCAACGAUGCGUAGCCGACCUGAGAGGGUGAUCAGCCACACUGGAACUGAGACACGGUCCAGACUCCUACGGGAGGCAGCAGUAGGGAAUCUUCCGCAAUGGGCGAAAGCCUGACGAAGCAACGCCGCGUGAGUGAUGAAGGUCUUCGGAUCGUAAAACUCUGUUAUUAGGGAAGAACAAAUGUGUAAGUAACUAUGCACGUCUUGACGGUACCUAAUCAGAAAGCCACGGCUAACUACGUG
Molecule: ribosomal RNA, 497 nt
Filed under: uncultured bacterium
Lineage: Bacteria
Description: partial 16S ribosomal RNA
Rfam family: Bacterial small subunit ribosomal RNA
Source: RNAcentral